GUGUCAGCAGCCGCGGUAAUACGUAGGGGGCAAGCGUUGUCCGGAAUCAUUGGGCGUAAAGCGCGUGUAGGCGGCCAUCCAAGUCCGAUGUGAAAGCUCGGGGCUCAACCCCGAGUCUGCAUUGGAAACUGUAUGGCUUGAGUCCGGAAGAGGAGACUGGAAUUCCUGGUGUAGCGGUGAAAUGCGCAGAUAUCAGGAAGAACACCGGUGGCGAAGGCGGGUCUCUGGGACGGUACUGACGCUGAGACGCGAAAGCGUGGGGAGCAAACAGGAUUAGAUACCCGUGUAGUCC
RNAcentral lists this ribosomal RNA (292 nucleotides) under uncultured bacterium. RNAcentral's name for it is "partial 16S ribosomal RNA". It matches the Rfam family "Bacterial small subunit ribosomal RNA", at positions 505 to 796 of the family's 1533-position model. The record is from RNAcentral.